Molecule: long non-coding RNA, 5161 nt
Filed under: Homo sapiens (human)
Lineage: Eukaryota; Metazoa; Chordata; Mammalia; Primates; Hominidae
Description: HSALNT0289646
Source: RNAcentral
GCCGGGGCGGGGUCUCGGGCAGGGGCGGGGAGCUUACCGACCUCCCGCCCCCGCUGCGCGCGUUUCUGGCCCUGCCAGUGUCUCCGCCGGUUGAAAGCGCGUGUCUGCGUCGGGUUCUGUUGGAGUGCGUUCGGUGCGCCGUGGGUCCGCGCUGCUUCCACCCAACUUCCUGUUAGUUUCUCUCCUGUCACAAUGGCAUGAUCUCGGCUCACUGCGACCUCUGCUUCCUGGGUUCAAGGAUUCUCCUGCCUCAGCCUCCCAAGUAGCUGGGAUUACAGGUUACAUUAGUUAUACACUCUGGAGGUGACUUGACCUGUCAUUGUGAACAAUUAUUGCUCUUGGACGACCCAGGACAUAGGCCAGCCAGUACGUACCCCAGUGUGUUGGAGAAUCGCGCUCGGCUUCUUCCUCUGUGCUGAGUCAUGAAAGUUGCCGGAGCAGGUGCAGUUACACAACCUCCAGACAUCUAGGCUUGCUGUCAAGGCUUCUGAUCAACAUGAGAUGACCGCCGUGUGGUAAACUGAUGAACCCUGACCCUGAUCAACAUGAGAUGACCGCCGUGUGGUAAACUGAUGAACCCCGACCCUGAUGAACGUGAGAUGACCGCCGUGUGGUAAACUGAUGAACCCCGACCCUGAUGAACGUGAGAUGACCGCCGUGUGGUAAACUGAUGAACCCCGACCCUGAUGAACGUGAGAUGACCGCCGUGUGGUAAACUGAUGAACCCCGACCCUGAUGAACGUGAGAUGACCGCCGUGUGGUAAACUGAUGAACCCCGACCCUGAUCAACGUGAGAUGACCGCCGUGUGGUAAACUGAUGAACCCCGACCCUGAUGAACAUGAGAUGACCGCCGUGUGGUAAACUGAUGAACCCCGACCCUGAUCAACAUGAGAUGACCGCCGUGUGGUAAACUGAUGAACCCCGACCCUGAUCAACAUGAGAUGACUGCCGUGUGGUAAACUGAUGAACCCUGACCCAUUAGGCUUUGGCUACAGAAUGUGGAAAUAAGUUGUGUUACUACAUGUGUGUAAUCCUAGGGUGCAGGACACCGGCCGGGAGGUUCCAUAGAGUGAUGGGUUCUGCAGGUAACUCAUCCUCUAGUCCUCUGUAAGCUCCUAGAAGGAAGAAAUUAUGUCCUUUAGACUAAUAAAAUUCCUCCAAACCAAAUACAGCACCUACUGUGAAGACACAAAGAUACUUUUAGAAUAGUAAAAACUUUAUCCAUUGAGAAAUUCCUUAAUGAAACAGUAUCCAAGAAGUCAUUUGCCAGCAGAUUUCUUAGAGGUGCGAUAAAGAAGAGGACAUUGCCAGUCGUCACAGCAGCUGCAAUAGCUCCUCUCUAUUGUUAAACAGUGGGAUAUCUUGUGCAGGUUUUCAGUUGACAAUCAAUUUUAAAGAUUAGUUUCGGUCCCCAUCAAUCAAUUAUUUAUUAACCCAUCAAUAAAAAUUUAAAUGCUCUGUGAGGUACAAUAGCUAUUAAAAGAGACAGAGGCACUUUCUGUGUCCAGAGGGGCUUUUAGUCUGCUCUGGAAAGCAAGAUGCGUGCAGAUGAGUGACGCAGUGCAUCGUGUGGAUGCAAAGGGAGGGACUCACAUGGGAACCAGAGGAGCUACGAAGGGAGGCAGUGGGGACUGGUGGGUCGAGACCUGGAAAUAACACAUGAAUAGGCAACAAAGGUUUCCUUUCCUCUUCCAUGCACUUCAGUCCUUGAAAAACGUCUUACCACGGAAUUCCACAGCGUACCAAGCGAUUCCACAGCUUGAUGGCACACUCUCCUUUCUCAGCAUUCUUGAAAAUGGCGUGUGAGCCAAGCCAUCUUACUGAGAAAUUACCUUAAACCAUUUGAUGAACCAAAAAUAUUUUGUAAUACCCAUCUCCGACAUUAGGUAGGCAAAUCACACAGAAACACCGAGGUCUUCUGAGUCAUAUUUAUCUGAAAAAUCACAGCUUGGGUGCAUGUGAAGCCAGAGGAGCACUCCUGGGGCCUGCGGUGCCAUCACUCAGCUCCCCUGGGCUUCACAUGGCCAUGGAGCACCCAGCAAGUGUAGGCUCUGAGCCUUCAGGGAGGGGCGGCAUCAGCCAGCACCAUCGUCUCCUGGGUCUUGUGCCUCUUCCUUGGUUGCGGUGUUGUCAGGGCCAGAAUUGGGCAAUUCCGGGUGACAUCCAGGUGUGGCUGCUGACACGGAGCACAGGACACCCUGCUCCUGUGGUUUGCAGCCCCGGCCUUCUCUUCGAGGACGCCUCUGCUCUUCUGCCUCACACUCGGAUUGGACCUUCUUCAGCACAGCCAGUGGCCGAGGCUUCCUCCCUGGGGCUCAGUGGAGCAGGACAGAUGCUGCAUCCAAACUCUUCCAUUGGGUUCCAGUCUGUUCCAGUCAUGCCCUUGAGCCUCUAAAGCUCCUAGGUGAGAGACGUAGCAGCUGACAGCACUUCCCACUUGAUUUGGGUGGACUCCAGCCUCCCCAGCAACAAUAAGAGAUCAAAAGCAUCGUUGAGGAAGCAGCUUGCUGAAACGCUGAGUGCCCGCCACUCUCAGGUCAGGUGGGACCGGCAGGCCAGCAUGAGUUCCUGAACACUUGGUUCUCAAUACUGGCCACAGCCACACUGUAAGGGGAAACAAGAGGGCACUGUAUGCAAACAUCUCUUGAACUCUGGAGUCUGCUCACCUUCCUGCCUCAAGCCCCUCUCCCACGUGGUCCAGUCACCAUUCUCCACAGAGACUACCCUAAAACCCAGCGACUCUCGUGUGCCUGCAGAAUGGCACAGCCCGUUCUCAUAGCAGCACUCCUGUUUAAUCAGAGGGAUGUUAACGACCAAGUCAUAUUUGCUCGAUUUGUGUUCAACAUAUUUCAUUUGUACCGAUAAAACUUAAAAAUAUCCCCACACAUGCAUUGCCUAUUAAAGAGUAUCUUCCAGGUACACCUCCCUUACACAUCAGUUAACUUGAUAAUUUCUUCCCAUUCUUGUGCAAUAAAUUUCCUUCCUGAUCAGCUCUGUCCAGCAGCAACAAUAAUCCACGUAGAGACAUGCAAACUAAAAGUCCGUUAGUGGAGGCACGAAGCUGAUGAGGCUUGGAAAAAAAUGACCGAUUUGAUUAAAAUUAGGACCCAUGGGAGUGGAGCUCUGCCUAUUUUAGAGGCAAAGUAAAUGCCUGGGAGUCCAAUCACCGACAUUCUGUUUGAGGUUUCUAAUCACAAGGAAGAUGGAGAAAAUGCAGAACAAGUGGUCAAGAACAGGGAGAUAAUAAAUAGAAUAUUUAUGGGCUGAGGAAAACAAUUACCAGGGGAAAGCCCAAGAAGCAAAGAUGAACAGAGAACGUGCUGACUGCGCUCGUUUGGAAAGGCCUCAUGGCCAAAGGAGGAGAGGCAUUAUGAGGAGCAGUGACCGAGUGGGCAGGACCCCCGGGGAUCAGGAAAGGUGCACGGGGGGAAAUGAGAGGCCUGAGCGGCUUCCCAGCGAAGGUUUUUGAAGCACGGUUUGAUUUUCUCUCUCCCCCUCACCAUCCCCAAAUUUUAGUUGUGACUAUCUCCAGGUACAUGGCUUGCGACAGGCGGUGUAUAAAAACUAAUGUCAGUUUAAUUUUAAAACCUUAGCCAUUUUCUGGAACUUAAAUAUCAAAGAGAAAAUGUCCACAUAUGAUGUUAAUUGAGGUUUGUCUCACUGGUGAUUUGUGCUGAUUCAAUUCCUGUUUCUUUUUUUUUUUCUUAAGGGGUCAGUUUUAGAAUUGGGAGAUAGGUGUAUAACAUAUGACUAUACAGCGCAGGUUGGUUUUUUAACAUAGAAAUAUCUGCCUUUAAAUGAGAACUGAAAACGGAGCUUCUUGGAGGCCACCUGCUGGUGGCAGUGAUCUGACCGCUGUUUAAGCUUUCUUUGAACUCCUUUUUUUAAAACAGCCUCCAUAAUCAAUGGUGUACGAUCUACUCUCGUGGUAAAACUUACUCAGUGAAGAGUGUGUUUUAUUUUCUGAGGAGCUGAACUGUUCCAACCUGAGUAUUCUGAAUAAGGACAGUGGUCGAGCAUGAGUGAUGCCAUCUGGGCUUAGAAAUAAGUGGGCCUAAAAUCUGAUUGUUUUCAUACAUUGUUCAGAUAUUGACGCAAAUAGCAAUUUAUUUUGUAAAAAAUGAUUGGUAUCCGGAACUUGCAACAGCUGUGUGUGGCUUGAAGGGAGAUGAAGUGGUGAAGGCCUGGUUUCCACCGAAGCUCUCACAGCCCAGCCUUUCACUGUGUGGCCGGGGGAAGGGUGCUCCGGGUGGGGGACGGGAAUGGUGGGACUGGGGAUGCCACGGGACAAGGCUGCUGGCCUGGAAGGUAGUCACGUGGAGAACCGCAGGAGAUGAGAUUGGAAAGUAGUAAUAAGCCAUGUGGAUAAGAACAGAGGAGCGGGUUUUAAGGGGGACGUCCUGAAAUGCUGCUCAUGUCGUUUCAGUUCCAUAGACCACAGGAAAUGCAGGUGAGAGGGCAGCCCGGUGGGAAGGAAGGAAGAGGGUGGUGGUGAGCCAGGUGAGUGUGGAGCCGCCCAGGGCACCGUGCUGUGCGAUAGCUCAGGCAUCGGGUGCUUCUGCCAAACCCUUCAGCAGCUGGUUUGGGGCCAAACGUCCUUCCUGUGUGAGAGAAGGCAGAGCCUAGGCAGCAUUCCAAACCCCAUCCAGAUGGGAGGCUGAGUGCAGAGCAAACGGAGCCCAGCACUCCAGAGCCGUGUCCCUUCACUGCCAUGAUCACAUCACAAACAGCGAGGCUUGGAGAGGACUUAAGAGCUCCUUCAAUGCCAUCUUCCAUCCACUGCGUGAGCCAGAAUAGAAAAAAAGGAAUAAGAAGAGGUCGGUUAAGCUCUCUAUUAAGUUGAGAAAAUGGGAACUUCAGGUGAUCAUGUGAGAUAUUCAAGUUAAAAAAAUUAUUUAAAAAGCACAUUCUUAUUAUUAAAAUUUUAGAAAGUACAGAGAAGGAAAUUUUAAUAACCUACACCUAGAACACUAAGAUACUGGUAACGUAGAAAAAUGUGUAGUUAAUGCCUUGAUGGAUUCUUUUCUAUUUUUUUCUCUAGCAAUAUUUAUGUCUAUCCACAGAAAGCGUACACUCAUGUAUUUGCAUGGCUAAUAUAUUUUAUGUAAAGUUCUAUAUAUUUCUCAACAUUUCACUUAAUAUUUCUUUAUAAACAUUUUU